This 103-nucleotide transfer RNA is filed under the name Thermoleophilaceae bacterium. RNAcentral's name for it is "tRNA-Arg". The record is from RNAcentral. Lineage: Bacteria; Bacillati; Actinomycetota; Thermoleophilia; Thermoleophilales; Thermoleophilaceae.
CGCCCCGUAGCCCGCAUCGGGAGCGGGAUCGCGUACUCUCCGUGCGGUUGCUCCCGCUGCCCUCCGGAGGCAGAAGUCGCAAGUUCGAAUCUUGCCGGGCGCG